This 303-nucleotide ribosomal RNA is filed under the name uncultured bacterium. RNAcentral's name for it is "partial 16S ribosomal RNA". It matches the Rfam family "Bacterial small subunit ribosomal RNA", at positions 510 to 809 of the family's 1533-position model. The record is from RNAcentral.
AGCAGCAGCCCGGUAAUACGAAGGGGGCAAGCGUUGUCCGGAAUUAUUGGGCGUAAAGCGCGCGCAGGCGGUUUUUUAAGUCUGGUGUCUAAGUGCGGGGCUCAACCCCGUGACGCACUGGAAACUGGGAGACUUGAGUGCAGAAGAGGAGAGCGGAAUUCUACGUGUAGCGGUGAAAUGCGUAGAUAUCGGAAGGAACACCUGUGGCGAAAGCGGCUCACUGGACCAUUUCUGACGCUGAUGCACGAAAGCUAGGGGAGCAAACAGGAUUAGAUACCCCUGUAGUCCCUGUCUCUUAUACAC